RNAcentral lists this ribosomal RNA (292 nucleotides) under uncultured bacterium. RNAcentral describes it as "partial 16S ribosomal RNA". RNAcentral also lists the same sequence under 1 other name. The record is from RNAcentral.
GGACUACUGGGGUAUCUAAUCCUGUUUGCUCCCCUAGCUUUCGUGCCUCAGCGUCAGAAGUUGUCCAGGGACUCGCCUUCGCCACUGGUGUUCCUCUUGAUAUCUACGCAUUUCACUGCUACACCAAGAAUUCCAGUCCCCCCUCCAACUCUCAAGCCGAAUAGUAUCCAAUGCAGUUUCACAGUUAAGCUGUGAGAUUUCACAUCAGACUUACCCGACCGCCUACGCACCCUUUACGCCCAGUGAAUCCGAACAACGCUUGGGACCUCUGUAUUACCGCGGCGGCUGGCAC